AUUGAACGCUGGCGGCAGGCCUAACACAUGCAAGUCGAAUGGUAACAGGAAACAGCUUGCUGUUUCGCUGGCGAGUGGCGGACGGGUGAGUAAUGUCUGGGAAACUGCCUGAUGGAGGGGGAUUACUACUGGAAACGGUGGCUAAUACCGCAUAACGUCGCAAGACCAAAGAGGGGGACCUUCGGGCCUCUUGCCAUCAGAUGUGCCCAGAUGGGAUUAGCUAGUAGGUGGGGUAACGGCUCACCUAGGCGACGAUCCCUAGCUGGUCUGAGAGGAUGACCAGCCACACUGGAACUGAGACACGGUCCAGACUCCUACGGGAGGCAGCAGUGGGGAAUAUUGCACAAUGGGCGCAAGCCUGAUGCAGCCAUGCCGCGUGUAUGAAGAAGGCCUUCGGGUUGUAAAGUACUUUCAGCGGGGAGGAAGGGAGUAAAGUUAAUACCUUUGCUCAUUGACGUUACCCGCAGAAGAAGCACCGGCUAACUCCGUG
This 490-nucleotide ribosomal RNA is filed under the name uncultured bacterium. Its description in RNAcentral is "partial 16S ribosomal RNA". It matches the Rfam family "Bacterial small subunit ribosomal RNA", at positions 30 to 507 of the family's 1533-position model. The record is from RNAcentral.